GCUUAGCCCCGAUAGAAGUGGAAAUCCUUUUGUGGCGGGGUUCGCCAUAAAAGAUUGAAACGGAUAGCGGGACUAGAC
Molecule: small RNA, 78 nt
Rfam family: Flavo-1 RNA